RNA transcript from Medicago truncatula (barrel medic), 925 nucleotides. RefSeq lists it as uncharacterized. NCBI's taxonomy places the organism in Eukaryota, Viridiplantae, Streptophyta, Magnoliopsida, Fabales, Fabaceae. The transcript is spliced from 3 exons. The record is from RefSeq and is a predicted model, not a curated record.
AAUACCCUUUCAUUUCCGCAAGUAAACGAAAGGUACUUAGACAUUAAAAUUGUAACAAAAGAAGAUAAAUUCAUCUCAUGUUCGUCUCUCUCUCUCAUUCUCCGUCGGCUACCCGAACUCCCCCAACCCAUUGCUAACUCAAAAGCUUCUCUCCUACCUUGAAGAACACUUAUAAGAAGGAUCAUUACUUGCUUCUCUUAGUUUUGACUCCAAGAUUUCAAGUUCUAAAAGAGGCAUCGAGGAGAAUGUUGAAGAAGAUUCGGAUUGUGUGUCAGCAGAAUAAAGUGUUGCAGAUUGCUAUAAUGCUAAUAUGUUGCAUGAAGGGAUAAGGUUGUGAAGAAGACUGAGACAAUGAUAUAGUGAGAGGAAGUUUGGAAAGUAUAGCUUGGGAUACUAGGAAAAAGUGUUUGAAGAUCAACCUAUUUGUUAACAAGUGCAAAAUUGCAGAUUGUUUAGUGAUGUGUCCGUGUUUUUUACAUGGACACGACAGAGUUAUGCAGAGUUGUUGUGGAAGAAGGCCGGACAUACCAUGCCAUCAAUGGAACAGGUACCAUGUGAUUCUUAUUUUUUACGUGAGUUGUGUGUUUCUUUCACAAGCUUAACCUUAAUAAUGUUUGGCAUAAGAUAACUUACUUAUAUUUUUGAAUUUUGAAUAUACGUGCAUACCACCAUGAGAGCAUUUAUUGAAACUUUUGAAAGUCAGUAUGAUACUUUUGUGGAAACUUUAAUUAUAUGGAUCAUACUGCGCAAGAAAAUCUCCAAAAUACCCGGAGAGGAUAAAAUAUGAGCGAGAGAUCAUCCAGAGGGAGAUUGGGAUUGAAUUUGCCCAAAUAUUAUGAUAAUUAGUUUAUUCUGUUAAUUCUCUAGAUUGUACGAAUAUUAUUGAAAUAUUUAUAAUUUUGUACGAAAACUAUUUAUGCAUUGU